CCUACGGGAGGCAGCAGUGAGGAAUAUUGGUCAAUGGGCGGGAGCCUGAACCAGCCAAGCCGCGUGAAGGAAGAAGGCGCCAAGCGUCGUAAACUUCUUUUGUCGGGGAACAAAGGGCGCCACGUGUGGCGUUGUGAGUAUACCCGAAGAAAAAGCAUCGGCUAACUCCGUGCCAGCAGCCGCGGUAAUACGUAGGUGGCAAGCGUUAUCCGGAUUUAUUGGGUGUAAAGGGCGUGUAGGCGGGAAAGCAAGUCAGAUGUGAAAACUCAGGGCUCAACCCUGAGCCUGCAUUUGAAACUGUUUUUCUUGAGUGCUGGAGAGGCAAUCGGAAUUCCGUGUGUAGCGGUGAAAUGCGUAGAUAUACGGAGGAACACCAGUGGCGAAGGCGGAUUGCUGGACAGUAACUGACGCUGAGGCGCGAAAGCGUGGGGAGCAAACAGGAUUAGAUACCCCUGUAGUC
This 460-nucleotide ribosomal RNA is filed under the name uncultured bacterium. RNAcentral describes it as "partial 16S ribosomal RNA". It matches the Rfam family "Bacterial small subunit ribosomal RNA", at positions 338 to 795 of the family's 1533-position model. The record is from RNAcentral.